GAUGAACGCUGGCGGCGUGCCUAAUACAUGCAAGUCGAGCGAACGGACGAGAAGCUUGCUUCUCUGAUGUUAGCGGCGGACGGGUGAGUAACACGUGGAUAACCUACCUAUAAGACUGGGAUAACUUCGGGAAACCGGAGCUAAUACCGGAUAAUAUUUUGAACCGCAUGGUUCAAAAGUGAAAGACGGUCUUGCUGUCACUUAUAGAUGGAGCCGCGCUGCAUUAGCUAGUUGGUAAGGUAACGGCUUACCAAGGCAACGAUGCAUAGCCGACCUGAGAGGGUGAUCGGCCACACUGGAACUGAGACACGGUCCAGACUCCUACGGGAGGCAGCAGUAGGGAAUCUUCCGCAAUGGGCGAAAGCCUGACGGAGCAACGCCGCGUGAGUGAUGAAGGUCUUCGGAUCGUAAAACUCUGUUAUUAGGGAAGAAAAUAUGUGUAAGUAACUGUGCACAUCUUGACGGUACCUAAUCAGAAAGCCACGGCUAACUACGUG
Molecule: ribosomal RNA, 497 nt
Filed under: uncultured bacterium
Lineage: Bacteria
Description: partial 16S ribosomal RNA
Rfam family: Bacterial small subunit ribosomal RNA
Source: RNAcentral